AAACGCUUGGCGGCGUGCCUAAUACAUGCAAGUCGAACGAACUCUGGUAUUGAUUGGUGCUUGCAUCAUGAUUUACAUUUGAGUGAGUGGCGAACUGGUGAGUAACACGUGGGAAACCUGCCCAGAAGCGGGGGAUAACACCUGGAAACAGAUGCUAAUACCGCAUAACAACUUGGACCGCAUGGUCCGAGCUUGAAAGAUGGCUUCGGCUAUCACUUUUGGAUGGUCCCGCGGCGUAUUAGCUAGAUGGUGGGGUAACGGCUCACCAUGGCAAUGAUACGUAGCCGACCUGAGAGGGUAAUCGGCCACAUUGGGACUGAGACACGGCCCAAACUCCUACGGGAGGCAGCAGUAGGGAAUCUUCCACAAUGGACGAAAGUCUGAUGGAGCAACGCCGCGUGAGUGAAGAAGGGUUUCGGCUCGUAAAACUCUGUUGUUAAAGAAGAACAUAUCUGAGAGUAACUGUUCAGGUAUUGACGGUAUUUAACCAGAAAGCCACGGCUAACUACGUGCCAGCAGCCGCGGUAAUACGUAGGUGGCAAGCGUUGUCCGGAUUUAUUGGGCGUAAAGCGAGCGCAGGCGGUUUUUUAAGUCUGAUGUGAAAGCCUUCGGCUCAACCGAAGAAGUGCAUCGGAAACUGGGAAACUUGAGUGCAGAAGAGGACAGUGGAACUCCAUGUGUAGCGGUGAAAUGCGUAGAUAUAUGGAAGAACACCAGUGGCGAAGGCGGCUGUCUGGUCUGUAACUGACGCUGAGGCUCGAAAGUAUGGGUAGCAAACAGGAUUAGAUACCCUGGUAGUCCAUACCGUAAACGAUGAAUGCUAAGUGUUGGAGGGUUUCCGCCCUUCAGUGCUGCAGCUAACGCAUUAAGCAUUCCGCCUGGGGAGUACGGCCGCAAGGCUGAAACUCAAAGGAAUUGACGGGGGCCCGCACAAGCGGUGGAGCAUGUGGUUUAAUUCGAAGCUACGCGAAGAACCUUACCAGGUCUUGACAUACUAUGCAAAUCUAAGAGAUUAGACGUUCCCUUCGGGGACAUGGAUACAGGUGGUGCAUGGUUGUCGUCAGCUCGUGUCGUGAGAUGUUGGGUUAAGUCCCGCAACGAGCGCAACCCUUAUUAUCAGUUGCCAGCAUUAAGUUGGGCACUCUGGUGAGACUGCCGGUGACAAACCGGAGGAAGGUGGGGAUGACGUCAAAUCAUCAUGCCCCUUAUGACCUGGGCUACACACGUGCUACAAUGGAUGGUACAACGAGUUGCGAACUCGCGAGAGUAAGCUAAUCUCUUAAAGCCAUUCUCAGUUCGGAUUGUAGGCUGCAACUCGCCUACAUGAAGUCGGAAUCGCUAGUAAUCGCGGAUCAGCAUGCCGCGGUGAAUACGUUCCCGGGCCUUGUACACACCGCCCGUCACACCAUGAGAGUUUGUAACACCCAAAGUCGGUGGGGUAACCUUUUAGGAACCAGCCGCCUAAGGUGGGACAGAUGAUUAGG
Molecule: ribosomal RNA, 1484 nt
Filed under: Lactiplantibacillus plantarum
Lineage: Bacteria; Bacillati; Bacillota; Bacilli; Lactobacillales; Lactobacillaceae
Description: bacterial SSU rRNA
Rfam family: Bacterial small subunit ribosomal RNA
Source: RNAcentral